This 253-nucleotide ribosomal RNA is filed under the name uncultured bacterium. RNAcentral describes it as "partial 16S ribosomal RNA". It matches the Rfam family "Bacterial small subunit ribosomal RNA", at positions 524 to 776 of the family's 1533-position model. The record is from RNAcentral.
UACGGAGGAUGCAAGCGUUAUCCGGAUUUAUUGGGCGUAAAGCGUCCGCAGGUGGUUUUUCAAGUCUGCUGUUAAAGCGCGAGGCUUAACUUCGUACAGGCAGUGGAAACUGGAAGACUUGAGUAUGGUAGGGGUAGCGGGAAUUUCCAGUGGAGCGGUGAAAUGCGUAGAUAUUGGAAAGACCACCAAUGGCGAAGGCACUCUACUGGGCCAUUACUGACACUGAGAGACGAAAGCUAGGGGAGCGAAUGGG